Molecule: long non-coding RNA, 739 nt
Organism: Maylandia zebra (zebra mbuna)
Lineage: Eukaryota; Metazoa; Chordata; Actinopteri; Cichliformes; Cichlidae
Source: RefSeq, a predicted model, not a curated record
GUCCAAAUUCAUCUCACUGGUGUCAGAGAUUAUCCCAGACCUCCUGGGCUACAAACGUAAGACUCAGCUGAUCCUUGGACUGAGGGCCCAGCUCAUUCUUGAAAUAGUGAAGAAGACGAAUGAUGGUGACAGUUUCCAGCAGAAUACAACAAACCACGUGGAUGCAGAAAGUAACAAGAUGAAGAGGUGGAGAUUUCAAAGUCACCAUUGGUGGAUCUCAUUCAAAUGCUACUUCGAGAUCAGUCAUUGGGAGUUCUUCUAUCGACUGGAAGAGUUGUGCCCAGUGCCAAGUGUCUCAGGAGAGAAGCCUCAUAGCUGUGUAACAUGUCACAAGACGUUUGCUCAGAAAUCCAACCUGAAAAUACAUCUCAAAGUCCACAAGAACAUCUAGCAAAGUGGCUGUGGGAGCUUUUGGAGACGCAGUUUGCUACAGAUAUGGUUCAUUUGAGUGUCAGGACAAGUUUUGAUGCUUAAAAAUAAUAAUUUGCAUUUGGACAUAUAGUGCAUUAAAAUGUGGAUUUUUCCUGUGCUGUCCUGUGUUGAAUUUGUGUGCUAAUAUUGCACGUUACUGUAAACGGGUGUUCUGGAUGACCCAAAUUAAGGUGCCCAUGUCCUAAUUCAUGGACAUAAGGAAUUUUGAGUUAGACUGUCCUGUCACCCAAACACUUAUAUAUGAGCUGUUGGUGCUGUGAGAAUGGUCGUCACUUGAUAAAUGCACUAGAAAGAUGUAAUAUUUGCA